CGGAACGUGGGGAAAGGCGCGGACUACCGUUAGCCGCCGCCGCGGCGUUCUCCCGAAGCGGGCGUCGCAGCUGGAGGGCCUGGCAGGUUGCGUGCUCCGCUGGACAGCUGCCUGGGGAGUCCCUGCGCCGGUCAAAGCCUGUGUUUCCUCCUCGCGAGGCUGAGGUUUGUCCUUUUAGAGACGAUCCUAGAACUGGAAUGAUACAGGAUGGAACUUUCUCAGACAGGCUGCUUUCACUCAGCAAUAAUGCCUGUGACAUCCACCCAAGCUGUCAUAAGGAACAACAGCUGAUGACCUUUUUCAUUGCCAAGCAACUCUCCAUUGUAUGAAUGUACCAAAGUGGGUUUGUUUCAUUUUUUAUUCACUCGCUUGUUGAAGGACAUCUGGGUUGUGUCCAGUUUUUGGUGGUCAUGAGGUCAUGAGUGGAGUUGCUAUAAACAUUUGUGUGAACUUGAGUUUCAUUUUUCUAAAGUUAACACCCACAUGUGAGAUUGCUGGGUCAUAUGAUUAGCGUAUGUUUAACUUCAGAAGAAACUCCCAAAUGUUUUCUAGAAUGGUUGUACCAUUCUGUAUUUACUCCAACAACAUAUAAGAAUUCUAGCUGUGCCUUAUCCUUGACAAACAUGGUAUUGUAUUUUUUUAUUAUUAUAGCCAUUCUAAUAGGUAUGAGGUGGAUCUUAUUCUGGUUCUGUUUCUCUCUAGUGCCUAAUGAUGUUGAACAUAUUUUACUUGCCUAUUUACAUGCCAUCUAGACAGUCCCAAUGGGAAAAAGUCUGUUCAAGUCCUUUGCCCAUUUUUAAGCAAGUUAUGAUCUUGCUAUCGAGUUCUGAGAGUUCUUUAUAUAUUCAAAACACAAGUUCUCUGUUAGUACGUCAUUUGCAAAUAUUUCCUCCCAGUUGGGAGUCUGUCUUUUCUUUCACUUAGUAGUGUCUUCACAGAGCAAAAGUUUUAAAUUUUAAUGAGACUCCAUUUACCAAUUUUUUCUUUAUGGACUUUGCUUUUGGUGGAGUGUCUUAAGAACUAAUCCCAAGUCAUGAUGAAGAUUUUUCUCCUGUGUGUGUGUGUGUGUUUUUCCCCUAAAGGUUAUCAUUACAUUUAAGUCUAGAAUACGUUAUGAGUUAAGUUUUCUGUAAUGUGUGAGGUCUAAGUCAAGGCUCAGAUUUUUGCUUAUCGAUGUCCAGUUGUUCCAACACCAUUUGUUAAACUACCCUUUGCCCUGUGAUUGCUUUUGAAUCUUUGUCAAAAAUCAAUUACCCAAAUUUGUGUGCAUUUAGUUGCACACGAUUCUGCUCCACUGAUUUAUGUGUCUCCCCCUUAACCAGUAUCUGUACCUUAAUACUAAGUCUUUAAAUAAUGUGAUUCCUCCAAGUUUAUUCUUUCUCAGACUUAUUUUGACUAUUCCAGUUUGUCUGCCUAUCUAUGUAAAUAUUCCAAUCAGCUUUAAGGUUAAAAAAAACUCAAUACCUAUCUAUCUAUCUAUCCACAUGCGCGCGCACACACACACACACACACAUACAGGCAUAUAUCUUCGCAAUAUUGCAGGUUCAGUUACAGACCACUGCAAUAAAGGAAAUAUUGCGAUAAAGCAAGUCAAGUGAUUUUUUUUUUUGUUUCUCAGUGCGUAUAGGAGUUAUAUUUAUACUGUAGACUGUUAAAUGUGCAAUAGCAUUAUGUCUUAAAAAAGGGGUACGCCUUAAUUAAAUGUACAGAACUUUAUUUCUCCCAAAUGCCAACCAUCACCUGAGCUUUCAGUCAGUCAUAAUCACUCAUCAUAGAUCACCAUAACAAAUGCAGUAACAAUUAAGAAGUUUUUAAGAUUGCAAAGAUUACUAAAACAUGACACAAAGACACAGUGAGCAAAUGCUGUUGGGAAAACGGCACCAAUAGAUUUCCUUGAUGUGAGGUUGCCACAAACCUUCAAUUUGUAAAAAAAUGGAGUAUCUGCGAAGUGUGAUAAAGCUAAGUGCGAUAAAACAAGGUAUGCCUGUGUAGAUGAAUGGAUCUCAACUUUUCUUCAUUACCACCUUUUCCAAGGAGAAAAGUUGAAGUUAAAAUUCAAGCAAUUAUUUAUAAUUAAUACUAAAGAACAAGGUUUUGCUGGUUAGAGAGAAUUUUAUUUCUUCCUUUCAAAUCUAUUUAUUUCUUUUCCUUGUCUUAUUGCACCGGCCAGGAUGUCAAGUAUGAUGUGGAAUAAACAUGUUGAGCAUGAACAUCCUGAAAUUAUUCUUGAAUUUAGCAGGAAAAACCUCCAAUCUUUCAUCAUGGUGUUAGUAUUCUGCAGUGGCUGAGAAUGCAGUUUUCAGUGAUGCAACUACUAGCUCAUGUACUCUUUCUUGCUGUUUCUUUCUUUCCUCUGUUCUCUUCCAUCUUUUUUUUAUCAUGUUCUCAUACUUAAGACUUCUUUUCUGUGCCAAAAUCAGUAACGUUAUAUUGAGGAAGGGACACCGUCCUUUCAAAUGGGCCAUCUAAGGCAGCUAAUUAUGCAUCACAUUGAGUUCUCUACUGAGAAAAAUUCUGUGACUUGAACUAAAUAUUUUUAAAUGUGGAUUUUUUGGGAAAACUAAUAUUUAACAUUGUUUUUCCUGCAUGGCAAAACUGCCUAUUCUGCUACUUAAAAACCCUCAAUGACUUUAUUUUCAACUGGCUCCUUUUUUAUGUACAGCCAAAAUGAAAACGUCUAAAUUAACUAUGUUGUACAAAUGGUACCCAACACAAACUUUUUAAAAAUUAGUAAGACUUUUGUUUUAUGUUUGCAUUUUGACUAUUUUCAUAAGGAUGUAGGUUGUGUGUUUAACCGUUAAUGUUAAAAACUGUGAUGUGUGUGCAGAAUAUUCUAUAUGCAUGUUCAUGUUUAAAGAAUGGCUGUUGACGAUAAAAAUCAGCUUUCACGUAAAAAAAAUCAGGUUGAGGAAGUUUCCUUCUAUUUCUAGUUUGUUGACUUUGUAUUUUAUUUAUUUUAUUUUGAGAGAGAGCAUACAUGUGCAUGCAUGAGUGGGGGAGGGGCAGAGGAGGAAGAAGAAAAUCUUAAGUGGAAUCUGUGACUCUGGGCUCGAUCUUACAUAGUGAGAUCAUGACCUGCACUAAAACCAAGAGUCGGAUGCUCAACCAACUGAGCCAUCCAGGCACCCCUAGUUGUGUUUAUCUUCAUGAACGAUGUUGGGUUUUGUCAGAAGCCUUUUCUGUAUCAGUUGAAAUGAAUAAGUGAUUUUCUUUGUUAAACUGUUAGAGAUUACACUGAUUUUCAAAUAUUGAAUUAGCCUUGCAUUCUUGAUUUAAAUCCCAUUUUGUCAUAGUGUAUUAUGCUUUUUAUACAUUGCUACAUUCGACUUACUAGUAUUUGGGGCUUUUAAAAAUAUUUUUUUUAUUUUUUUUAAGUUUUAGACAGAGAAUGUGAGUGGGGGGAAUGGGGAGAGCAAGCGAGCGAGACAGAGAGAAUCUUAAGUAGGCUCCAUGCUUGGCACAGAGCCCUAUGUGGGGCUUGAUCCCAUGUCCCUGGAAUCACGAUCUGAGCUGAAAUCAAGAGUUGGAUGUUCAGCCAACUGAGGCACCCACGUGCCCCUACUAAUAUUCUGUUAACAACUUUUGCCUCAACGUCCAUGAGGAAUACUGGUUUUGUUAUAUGGCCCAAAGCAUUCCCCUGUCUUCUGUUUUCUGGAGGAGACUGUAGAAUCAAUAUUUAUUUUUUCUUAAAUGUCUGGUAGAAUUUGCCAGUGAAACCAGCUGGGCCUGAUGAUUUCUUUUUAGAAAGUUUGAAUUUUAAGGAAUUCAAUUUCCUUAAAAGCUAUAGGACUACUGGGGUGCCUGGGUGGCUCAGUUGGUUAAGUGUCUGACUUUGGCUCAGGCCAUGAUCUCGCAGUUCGUGAGUUUGAGCCCCACAUAGGGCUCUGGGCUGACAGCUCAGAGCCUGGAGCCUGCCUUGGAUUCUGUGUCUCCCUCUCUCUCUCAAAAAUAAAAAUAAAACAUAAAAAAAUUAAAAAAAAAAAA
Acinonyx jubatus (cheetah) is the source of this 3984-nucleotide long non-coding RNA. RefSeq lists it as uncharacterized. The record is from RefSeq and is a predicted model, not a curated record. The transcript has 2 exons. NCBI's taxonomy places the organism in Eukaryota, Metazoa, Chordata, Mammalia, Carnivora, Felidae.